Molecule: ribosomal RNA, 496 nt
Filed under: uncultured bacterium
Lineage: Bacteria
Description: partial 16S ribosomal RNA
Rfam family: Bacterial small subunit ribosomal RNA
Source: RNAcentral
GAUGAACGCUGGCGGCGUGCCUAAUACAUGCAAGUCGAGCGAACAGAUAAGGAGCUUGCUCCUUUGACGUUAGCGGCGGACGGGUGAGUAACACGUGGGUAACCUACCUAUAAGACUGGAAUAACUCCGGGAAACCGGGGCUAAUGCCGGAUAACAUUUAGAACCGCAUGGUUCUAAAGUGAAAGAUGGUUUUGCUAUCACUUAUAGAUGGACCCGCGCCGUAUUAGCUAGUUGGUAAGGUAACGGCUUACCAAGGCAACGAUACGUAGCCGACCUGAGAGGGUGAUCGCCCACACGGCAACUAGAACACGGUCCAGACUCCUAGGGGGGGCAGCAGUGGGGAAUCUUCCGCAAUGGGCAAAGGCCUGAGGGACCAACGCCGGGUGGGUAAGAAAGGUCUUCGAAUCGAAAAACUCUUUUAUUAGGAAAAAACAAAUGUGAAAGUAACUGGGCCCGUUUGGACGGUACCUAAUAAAAAAGCCCCGGCAAACUAGGG